UUCGUGUGAACAGUGGUUGAUCACGAGUUAGUCGGUCCUAAGUUCAAGGCGAAAGCCGAAAAUUUUCAAGUAAAAAAAAUUUUGCAUUAUAUUAUAAACAUAUUUGAAUUAUUAAUAUACUUGAAUAAUUUUGAACGAAAGGGAAUACGGUUCCAAUUCCGUAACCUGUUGAGUAUCCGUUUGUUAUUAAAUAUGGGCCUCGUGCUCAUCCUGGCAACAGGAACGACCAUAAAGAAGCCGUCGAGAGAUAUCGGAAGAGUUUUCUUUUCUGUUUUAUAGCCGUACUACCAUGGAAGUCUUUCGCAGAGAGAUAUGGUAGAUGGGCUAGAAGAGCAUGACAUAUACUGUUGUGUCGAUAUUUUCUCCUCGGACCUUGAAAAUUUAUGGUGGGGACACGCAAACUUCUCAACAGGCCGUACCAAUAUCCGCAGCUGGUCUCCAAGGUGAAGAGUCUCUAGUCGAUAGAAUA
RNAcentral lists this ribosomal RNA (469 nucleotides) under Dichaetophora sp. 16 (Toda). RNAcentral's name for it is "partial 28S ribosomal RNA". It matches the Rfam family "Eukaryotic large subunit ribosomal RNA", at positions 1508 to 1897 of the family's 3401-position model. The record is from RNAcentral. Lineage: Eukaryota; Metazoa; Arthropoda; Insecta; Diptera; Drosophilidae.